RNAcentral lists this ribosomal RNA (1533 nucleotides) under Triticum aestivum (bread wheat). Its description in RNAcentral is "partial small subunit ribosomal RNA". Lineage: Eukaryota; Viridiplantae; Streptophyta; Magnoliopsida; Poales; Poaceae. The record is from RNAcentral.
AUGGGGGACGGCAGCGCUGCCACAGGCUGCGCCUGCGAGCGAAGAACACAGUCAUCUCAGAGAACAUCACAGAUGGAUCCGACUAGAUCAUUCAAUCUCAGUGUUAGAAUGGAGACAUGCAUUUUAUAUGGUGCUGGUACAAAAGGAAAAGAACAAGGCUUCACAUUUCCAUUACUUGUGGACAAUAGUAGCACAUUUGAUCAGUUAAGGGCAACCAUUUGUGCCAAAUAUCCAUGGGGAUUAUAUGAUGCUAUGGAGAUAAGUAAAACCCAAGCUAAACCUAGCAUAGCUAUUGAUCCUGCUGUGGAGGAAGCAGAGCCUGAUGCAGAACCAUUGUAUGAUGAAGAGGAUGAGAAACUUUACCCAGGAUAUACUGAGCACAACAUUGAGGAAGAUAAAGCAAAUGAGUCCUACAUUCCUGCUGAAUUUUCAGAUACAGAUGAAGAUGAUAAGCUAGAGGAAAAGGACAAUGCAGAAUUUGGAACUGAAGAUGAGGACAUACCUGUAAUGAUAUCUCAGAGAUUGAGGGCUGCAAAGAGAAGAUGGAUAGCAGAUGCUUGUAUGCAGUGGCUUAGAAAUAAUCCAGGCAUGGGCCCAAAGGAAAUUCAGCAGAGGUUGACUGAGAAGUAUGGAGUGGAGCUGCCAUACAGUAGGUGUUAUUUUGGUAAAGAGCUGGCACUAGACAAGAUGUUUGGGAAGUACAGUGAGAGUUUCAGUCUUAUUUAUUCAUUCAAAGCUGAAGUUGAGAGAACAUCACCAGGCAGUGUAGUUGAAAUUGACAAGCACACUGUGGAGUACACAGUGAGAGGAAAGAAAAUGUAUAGGGAGUGCUUCAGAAGAGUUUUUGUGUGUUUCAAGGCAUGUCAAAAAGAUUUCUUGGAGGGUUGCAGGCCUUAUCUUGCUGUGGAUGCAACUACACUGAAUGGGUAUCCAGAUGGUUUAGUCAUACAUACUGAUGCUUGCAAAGGAUUGGAGACAGCUGUUGAUGAUGUAUUUGCUGGAGUAGAGCACAUGGAGUGCAUGAGACAUUUGGCUCAGAACUUCAGCAAGAAGUUCAAAGGCAAGUUCUAUGAUGACAAUGUGUGGCCAUGGUCACUUACAUACAACAUAAAGAAGCACAACUACCAUCUAAAUCAGUUGCACAAUAGGCCCAAAGUUAAAGAAUAUUUAGAGGAGCACCACAAAAAAAUAUGGGCUAGGGCACUCUUCAAUGAUACUUGCAAAGUGGACUAUGUGAACAACAACCUAGCUGAAGCUUUCAACUCAAGGAUCAAGAAAUACAAGGGGCUUCACAUAGUUGAUUUGUGUGACAAGAUCAGGCAGUAUAUUAUGCAGAAAUUUGAUAUCAGGAACAGGAUUGCCAUUGACCAUUUUGAAGGCCACUUGAUUGUUCCAUCUGUAAUGAAGGCCUUAAUGGCAAAAACAAAAGGUUUAGAGAUGACUUUGAUUAGGAGAAGCCCAAAAGUGGCUGAAGUUACAUCUACUGACAAAGAAAAAAGAGAAUGGAGGUACCCAGUUGACUUACAGAACUAG